RNAcentral lists this ribosomal RNA (2542 nucleotides) under Helianthus niveus. Its description in RNAcentral is "bacterial LSU rRNA". It matches the Rfam family "Bacterial large subunit ribosomal RNA", at positions 1 to 2440 of the family's 2925-position model. The record is from RNAcentral. Lineage: Eukaryota; Viridiplantae; Streptophyta; Magnoliopsida; Asterales; Asteraceae.
UAGAAUAAUAAAAGGCUGUAUAUUAAACCAUUAGUACCGUAAAAAUGAUGGACUAGUUUCAUUUAUUAGGGAAAAGGGUAGAAGAAUUUCUAUAAAAAAAAACGAAGUGAAUUGAAGUAUCUUAUUAGCUUCAGGAAAAUAAAUCAAACGAGAUUCUAUUAGUAGUGUGAAUGAAAAUAGAUAUAGGCUUAAAGUAAAAUGGAUUAAUCUGUUUGAAUAUAGGGGAACCUUCCUCUAAGCCUUAAUAUAAUAUACAAGAAAUAGAGAAUAGUACUGUGAAGGAAGUAUGUAAAAUAGUAGUCUUAUAAGCAGCUCAAGGUAAGUUUAAUAAACAUAUGAGAGCGUACCUUUUGUAUAAUGGGUCAGCAAGUUCUAGUUAGAUGCAAGCAAGUAGUGAUUAGUGGUGAUAGAUUAAAUUUAAGAAAUUAAAUUGAAGAAACAUAAUUUUAAUACACAAAAAAGAAUCAAUUUGCCUAGAUAAUCCAAUUAUUAAGUAAUGAAUUAGUAUCUAAUUAGAGACCCGAAGAGUAGUGAUCUUACCAUGGUCAGGCUUAUAAAAGGCCGAAUGGGUUAUCGUUGUAAAGAUAUCCAAAGAACUGUGGUAAGUUAGUGAAAGACAAUCCUGACUACUAUAGCUGGUUUUCCGCGAAACAUAUGUAAGUAUGUAGUUUAAAUAACAUCAUAGCAGGUACAGAACUGUGAUCUCGGACAAAUUAUGUUGUUUUCUAUAUUUUUUUUCUUCGUGACGUAAUUUAAAAAAUACUAGAAGAAAAAAAAAGACGAUAGCAACAUGGUUUUGUAUACAUCGGGGAAUCGUGAAGAUUUUAUCGGCGAGAAUUUGCUCUCGGAAGGGCAAUGAUGGAUUUUGCAUAAUCGGACAUAGUACGAUAAGGUUGUGUGUCUAAAGGGAAACAGCCCAGAACAAGAGUAAAGGUUCCCAAAUUAUUGUUAAGUGAAAUUAAGGAUGUUUAGUUAAAAUACGGCCAGGAAAUUGGCUUAGAAGCGGUCCAUUUUUUGAAGAUCUCGUAACAGAGCACUGGUUUAGUAUAUUAUUUACAUUAAUUUGAGCACCGAAGAUUUAACGGAUCUAAACAAUAUACCGACACCCUUGUCCAUAAAAAUAUAAUAUUUAAUGGGGUAGCAGAACGUUGGGUAAACAUUUAUUGUUUUUAAUAAUAAAUAUAUGAUAACCCAAGUGAUAAUGCUGACAUGAGUAACGAAAAAGGGGAUAUACCCUCGCCUAAAGCUUAUGGUAUUUUAAAAUAAGUAACGGCCUCUAAGUUUACCAACCUAAAGGAUUAAACGAUGAGAAAAUCUUUUAGUUCAUUAGUAACAACCUUCCUUCUUAUAAGAAAAGUUGAGGGAGGUUCUGGAAAAACCGUGACCUAUCUUUAAGAUAAAAACCGUACCUAAAUACCACCGACGGUAAGCUAGUAGAGAAUACGAAGGCGUUUGAGUGAACAAUCCUUAAGGAACUCGGCAAACUAACUACCGUAACUUCGGAAUAAGGAGUGCCAUUCCUCUUCAUUAAUAUGAGGUAAAGAAUAGGAAGCAUGGAAUAGUGUUGUACGACUGUUUAAUUAAAACAAAGCACUCCGCAAUAAGAUAAUAAAUCAAAGUAUUGAGUGUGAUUUCUGCCCGAUGUCGGCCGGUUAACGGAUUUUCUAAGUUGACUAAUAUAAGCUUGGUUUUGAUGGAAACCCCGAUCAAUGGCGGCCUUACCUAUGAGGGUCCUAAGGUAGCGGAAUACCUUGGCCGUUAAAUGCGGUCUUGCAUGAAUGAUUUAACGAUACAACAGCUGUCUCAAGGAUUGGCUCAGUGAAAUUGGAAUAACUGUGCAGAUACAGUUUACCUCUAGAUAGACGAGAAGACCCUAUGCAGCUUUACUGUUACUAGUUAUUAGAUAUGAUAAACAGCAUUUUUAGUGCAUAAGGUAGGUCUUAAUUGACCGAAAUUGAAACACCUUUAUUUAGUUUUUCAUAUUGGUAAAUAUAAUUUACGUGAUAAAUAUACUAUCAUUUCCAAAAGAGAGGAACGAUGACUAGGAGGCAGUUUAUGCGGGGCACAGAUCCCAUAAAAAGUACCUGGGUGUAUCCAAAGUUAAUUUUGUAAUUUGGUUAUAAUUUCGUUAUAACAAAUCUAUAAGGGUCUAGCUGCCUAAAUAUGAGCCAGCCGUCGAAGCUAAGGGCUAACCCUCUUUAGGUUUUUUUAGUUUGUUAUUAGAGAUAGCUCUUCUUAGAACUAUUACCAAUCCACCUAUAUAUCUAUUGAGUUAGAACUAAAUUUUUUAAUCAAGUAAGAUUUUAUCUAUAUUGAAAAUAGAUGUAAAACUAUGUUAUAUUUUCUUCUGGGCCAGCUUAGUACCAGAGGCUGCACUGGUCUUCUAGCCGAGGUCUUCUAGAGCUAGCCAGGUUCUAAGCUAGCUUAGAACCAGGCAGAUCCUUUUCUUACCACUGAAAACACAGGCAAGGAGGUAGCCCGGCCACUAUUGUUGCAAAGGCAGAGCUGCGGGCUGGUUCUCUGCCGGCAAACAAGAGGCGGU